UGGAAAGUUUGAACUUGUUGCUUUGUGGA
RNAcentral lists this non-coding RNA (29 nucleotides) under Homo sapiens (human). The record is from RNAcentral. Lineage: Eukaryota; Metazoa; Chordata; Mammalia; Primates; Hominidae.